This 3403-nucleotide long non-coding RNA is filed under the name Nicotiana tabacum (common tobacco). RNAcentral describes it as "long non-coding RNA (NTAB_LNC003886)". The record is from RNAcentral. Lineage: Eukaryota; Viridiplantae; Streptophyta; Magnoliopsida; Solanales; Solanaceae.
GGGGAUUGCCUAUUUAGCAUGACGCUGCAUGAAUCAGAUCAUUACGUAGUUUAGGAAUACCGGGAACAGAGUAAAUAAACUAACUCUUUUUUUUAUUUACUUUUAUAAAAUUCAGACCAUGAAAGCUUUUAGAAAAAGAAAAAAAAAUAUUUUUUUGAAUAUUUUUCUUUUUGGAAUUUUCGAAAGAAAGACAUAAAAGAAGAAAGAAAAUAUUUUUUGAUUUUGAUUUUUUUUGAAAUGUCUGAAAGAAAGACUUCUAAAGAAGCAAAAAAAUAUUUUUUGGAUUUUGAUUUGAAUUAUUUUUUUUAUUUGAAUUUCUAAGAGAAAGAUUUCUAAAGAAUGAAAAAACAUAUAUUUUUGGAUUUUUGAUUUGAUUUUUUUCUUUUUUCGGAUGAAAGACUACUACAAAGAAAGAAUUUCUAUUUUUCUGAGUUUUCUUUAUAAUUUCCGAAAGAAAACUUCUGAAGAAAAAAGAAAAUAUUUUUGGACUUUAACUUUUCAAUUUUAAUGACAUUUGCGAAAGACGACUUUUAAAGAAUAAAAAAAAAUUGAUUUUUGUUUCUUAUUUUUUUUAACUUUUUGGGAAAAUACUUCAAAAUAAAGAAAACCAGUAUUUUUUAUUUUGAUUUUAUUUUAUUUUAUUUUGAUUUUUUUUCAUAUGAAAGACUUCGAAAAGAAGGAAAAUAUUUUUGCUUUUAAAAUCUUUUUUUUUUAAUUUUUUUAAGGAAAAACUUCUAAAGAAGGAAUUAAAGGAAAAUAUUUUUUGUUUUUUUUUUAAAAUUGGGCCCGGAACCGAUGUGGUUUGCCUACGUAUCUCACAUCCGGUGAGAAUCAGACCCAUGUAGUUCGACCAGUUUUAACGGAACAGGGAAAACAUGAUGUCUUGAAAACAUUGGCUUAUUGUGAAAUGACCUUUUCUCUCUCUCUCUCUCUUCAUAAUUUCGGUAGAGUUUCGAAAAUUUUCAAAUACCUACAUCUUACUCUUGUUUUUUUUUGGUUUUCUUUUCCCUUUUUUUAAAAAUUUUCUUUUCCUAUUCUAUAAGCCAGUCAACAUGCAAGCCGAAACAAACAGAUGUGCAAGUAGCACAUAAAAUGCAUCAGGAUGGUCUUUUAAUUUGGGUACACUUGUCCUAAACGGACCCAACCCCUGUGUUGAGUCCCCAAAGUCAGAUGCACAUGAUGCAAACAAACGUUCCUACUAGGGAUCCAACAAGAGGCUAUGUUAUUCUAUGUUUAAAACAUGAGUGUAUUGUUCUAGACCUGGCUUACCCGAGUGGACAACUCGAGCCGAGGGGGAGGGGACAACGUACCGGUAACCAAAAGGUCAUCCGGCUUUGCAACUUGUCCGAUCCUCGUUCUAAAUUAGAGUAUGACACUAACAAAAAAAAGUCACGCUAGCGUGCAGUUCCCAGAAGAUUUAGAAGACUCAAAGAGAAGAAGGGUUUCGUAACAGUUUUAUAUACAGUUCACAGAAUUUCAAAGCGUUAAAAGCGGCAAUUAACACAUUAAGCUCAAACACGUAAAAAUCAAAUAAUAAACAAAAGCCAAGUAUCACAGUUAUUCUAAGCUCGAAUUCUGAACCCUGAACCAUAGAUUCUGGGUUCGAUCCCCAGCGGAGUCGCCAUGGAAUUAUUUAUUUAAUUUCAGAGUCGCCACUUGGAAUAAUUUAUGGUGUCCCAAGUCAUCGGUUUAUUUUAAAAUCCCAAAUCGAGAAAAUUGACUCUUAUUAUGGUCCACGAAAAUAGAAGACUAGGUAAGUAAUUAUGUUUACCCGGGAGGAGGUGUGCGGCACUCCCGAAUUUUGUGAUUUUAGCACGUUCGCUCAACUAUUAAUAAUUGGCCUAAUUAUCUGAUUUAUUACAUGUUUUAAACCUAUUGUGCAUUUUUAACUUUAUAAUCGCUUUUAUUUAUUUAUGGAGUUUGUUUGAAGAAGUCGCGAUGUCGCACACUCGUUUGUUUUUUUACACAUUUCGAUUCGCGUCAUGGGAACCGUACCCACGAUCUACAACAUGUUUAUUUUAUUUUUGUUUGAAGUUAUGGUCGGGUCACAUGAAAUGUGCACCCGAGUUGGGAUUAUGUAUCAUGACUAUGCCACGGGAACCGUACCCAUAGCCGUGAUGAUUUAAUUACGCGUCUAAAGAAAACUACGGAUGUUCAUUAAUUAUUAUGAUUUGGAGUUAUAGUCGUGUCGCAUGAAAUGCGUACUCGAAUUGGGAUUAUGUAUCAUGACUAUGCCACGAAAAUAGUACCCAUAGUCACAAUUUAUUAUUAAUCACGUAUAAAGCAACUAGCGAUAUAUAGUUAUGUGUUCAAUUGUUUGAGAUCAUGUACUGGGGGUCUAUAGCUAAGGAAUCAAUGUUGGGAUAAAUUAUAGAUAAGGUAAUGACAGGGGAAUUCCGAGUCAUGGAAGUUUGAAUUAAUUACCCAAGUACAUACCAAUAGAAUAAAUUGAUGGAUAAAACUAGAUCACAAUCUAACUUUUGAGGAAGUUCGCAUGCAUAACCGAAAAUGAAUUAAUCCGAUGCUUUUAACAAAACCUUCAAACGGUCCAAAUGAAUGGAAUGGGUUAAAGGCAAAGCCCAAUAACUUGAGGCCUGAGGACUACUGAGGUCUACAACAUACUUCAAUAACCAAUUUCAUCAAGCACAUAACACCAAUUUGCAAACUACAUAUUUAACAAAUAAAAAACCCCUGACAGAGUAUUGAAAUGAAUAUAUAUAUGCAGAUUUCAUAGCAAUACAAUAUCCAGCAGUAAUCAUUUAAACUGCAAACAUACCUCGGACAACAGCAAAACAAUCCACAAUUAGCCAAAUAAAGAUACAGAUGAAGAUGCACAGAGCUAAACGAAGUAGAAGCAGCAAUCUCUGCAACAAAUGAUCUUUUAACAGCUUGAUUUAAACUUGAAAAUCCUAGGGAUUACAUAGCAGAUCAGCUAAGAGAAGCAGCUUGUGAAAUCAUUCGCCCAAACUACCUACCUCUUUUUCAUGUAUUUCAAAAUUGCGGAGUUUUUCUCCGAACAACAGUGAGGACAUAAAGAGUUUCUCGAAUUAAAAUUUUUUUUUGGCCAGAUCUUCAACAAAUCGCCGGAUUCAACGUAACUUCUGGCCAGAUCCGAGACUCGUCACAAAUGGGGGAAGAGACGACGAGGAGGAGAAAUAUUGAGGUGGAGUAUUGGAGGGGGUGGAGGCUUAGAGAUGGAGCUGCUAGGUUUGAAGAAAUGAAGAAGGAGGGGGGAAGGUGGCGGCUCACCUAGGUUAGGGAAUUAGGGGAGGGUCUAAUGAUAGGGAAGGGGAAUAGAGGGGCGGUUUGGGUUUAUUCAUGGGGGAGGGGAUCUGAUGAUUUUUUAGGGUGUUGAAAAAUGGGGGUUUUAAAGAGGGGAGAAGAUCCGGUUGGGCCAAUUAAG